ACAAUUAGCUGUUGGGACACUAGAUGUUUUAGUAGCGAAGCUAGCGCGUGAAAUUGUCCGCCUGGAGAGUACGGUCGCAAGAUUAAAACUCAAAGGAAUUGACGGGGACCCGCACAAGCGGUGGAUGAUGUGGAUUAAUUCGAUGCAACGCGAAGAACCUUACCUGGUCUUGACAUGUACGGAAUCUCUUAGAGAUAGGAGAGUGCCUUCGGGAACCGUAACACAGGUGCUGCAUGGCUGUCGUCAGCUCGUGUCGUGAGAUGUUGGGUUAAGUCCCGCAGCGAGCGCAACCCUUGUCAUUAGUUGCCAUCAUUAAGUUGGGCACUCUAAUGAGACUGCCGGUGACAAACCGGAGGAAGGUGGGGAUGACGUCAAGUCCUCAUGGCCCUUAUGACCAGGGCUUCACACGUCAUACAAUGGUCGGUACAGAGGGUAGCGAAGCCGCGAGGUGAAGCCAAUCUCAGAAAGCCGAUCGUAGUCCGGAUUGCACUCUGCAACUCGAGUGCAUGAAGUCGGAAUCGCUAGUAAUCGCAGGUCAGCAUACUGCGGUGAAUACGUUCCCGGGUCU
RNAcentral lists this ribosomal RNA (568 nucleotides) under uncultured Neisseriaceae bacterium. Its description in RNAcentral is "bacterial SSU rRNA". It matches the Rfam family "Bacterial small subunit ribosomal RNA", at positions 812 to 1381 of the family's 1533-position model. Lineage: Bacteria; Pseudomonadati; Pseudomonadota; Betaproteobacteria; Neisseriales; Neisseriaceae. The record is from RNAcentral.